Molecule: long non-coding RNA, 259 nt
Organism: Cottoperca gobio
Lineage: Eukaryota; Metazoa; Chordata; Actinopteri; Perciformes; Bovichtidae
Exons: 3
Source: RefSeq, a predicted model, not a curated record
ACCUGACUGGAUACGGGGAUACAGCUAGCCCAGCUCUGUCCCAAGAUCUGUAGAGGAAACAAGUCUUGCUGGAUGGAGCAGAGCUUAGUAAACUUGAUGGUUGAAAUUUCAGCCUGUGGAGAUACAAUCUGCCCUCAUCCUAACGUUGUUGAUGUGGGAAAACAAAGCUUGAGGUUGAGAUACUGACCGAGAGAAUCCGGUCGCCCCUCCUCAGCUCGCCGCUCAGGUCAGCCGGCCCUCCAGCCAGGAUGAAGGAGAC